CUAGUUGGCGAGGUAACGGCUCACCAAGGCAACGACGGGUAGCUGGUCUGAGAGGAUGGCCAGCCACAUUGGGACUGAGAUACGGCCCAGACUCCUACGGGAGGCAGCAGUGGGGAAUCUUGCGCAAUGGCCUAACGGCUGACGCAGCGACGCCGCGUGUGGGAUGAAGCUCCUCGGAGUGUAAACCACUGUUGCCCGGGACGAAUAGCUCGAUUAAUCGAGCCUGACAGUACCGGGUGAGGAAGCACCGGCUAACUCCGUGCCAGCAGCCGCGGUAAUACGGGGGGUGCGAGCGUUGUCCGGAAUCACUGGGCGUAAAGGGCGCGUAGGUGGUUUGAUAAGGGUGUGGUGAAAGUCCGGGGCUCAACCCCGGAUCUGCCGUGCCGACUGUCAAACUCGAGGACUGUAGAGGCAGACGGAAUUCCGGGUGUAGCGGUGGAAUGCGUAGAGAUCCGGAGGAAGACCGGUGGCGAAGGCGGUCUGCUGGGCAGUUUCUGACACUGAUGCGCGACAGCGUGGGGAGCAAACAGGAUUAGAUACCCUGGUAGUCCACGCCGUAAACGAUGGGUACUAGGUGCCUGGGGGAGCGACCCUCUGGGUGCCGGCGCUAACGCAGGAAGUACCCCGCCUGGGGAGUACGACCGCAAGGUUGAAACUCAAAGGAAUUGACG
This 671-nucleotide ribosomal RNA is filed under the name uncultured Gemmatimonadota bacterium. RNAcentral's name for it is "SSU rRNA". It matches the Rfam family "Bacterial small subunit ribosomal RNA", at positions 245 to 915 of the family's 1533-position model. The record is from RNAcentral. Lineage: Bacteria; Pseudomonadati; Gemmatimonadota.